This is a long non-coding RNA of Esox lucius (northern pike), 1677 nucleotides long. The record is from Ensembl. Lineage: Eukaryota; Metazoa; Chordata; Actinopteri; Esociformes; Esocidae.
UCACACGUUUUCAGUUCUAAGCGGAGAAUGUCCCAGAACUCCAAGUGAAUUUAGAAUGAAGGGGGGGGGGCUAACCACAUAAGAGGGAACCCGAGAGCCGAGAAUAUUUUUUUCUUCUUCGGGAAACGGAGAGAAAGAUGCUGGUCAGAGAAGGAAGAGGUGUAUAGCAGAUCCUGGAGGGUGAUCGACAGAGGCGGUUAAGACUGAGAGUUUGGAGGAAAAAAAAGUUAUCUUUCAUUGAAAGACAAGAGGGCCCCGGGCUGCGUAUCUGAUGGGGACUGUGCAACCGAAUGGCGGAGCAGGCGAUCACCUGUGAGAUACAUUCAUCUUGGGAGGUCUGACUGUGCUUGAAAUGGCCAGUUUCGUUCCACUGCGCUUGAGACUUGUCUGCAAUUCACACGCACACGCGCACACAUGCCACACACACAUAUACCAAACACAAACACUCACAUCGCUCCUUUAAUCAGCCAAAACAUGCUCUCUUAAUCUUUUUAAUGUGUGGGUGCCAAUGCUUAUCUACCUGCUGAUCACUAGGCCUGCAUUUCCUAUCUCCCCCUAUCUGGUCCAUCUGUGGAACACCCCUGCUCUUUCAUAACCUGGCGGAAAAUGCCAUUGCCCCACCUCAGCGGGGGUGUUUUAAUGAAUGUCUCAGCUGCCUGACAAGGGUGACAGCCCAUCUCCUCCAGUGGUUCUGUUACAAGUGUUUAAUAUUCCCACACACAAUGAGGAUUGUUUUACUAUCUUCGUGAGGACCACCAAUUGAGUACCAUGAGAAAAGUAACCUUAAAACGAACCCGUUCCCUAUCCUAAAACCCUUAACCUAACCAUAACCUCAACUUUGUAAGCUGUAACGGGCCAUAUGUCUUCAAUUUGCUAGAUUUUACAGUUUUUUUCUAUACUUGUGAGGAAAAACUAGUUCACCUACACACAAAGAACACACACUCAUCUAAGACAGUCAUUCUUUCCCUCAUUUCUCUCGUUCACUCUCAUUUUCUCUCCCUCGCUUGUCUAGCUCAGGGUGUGUCUCUGCUUGCUCAUUAGGGCUACCUGUCACUCCCUCACUCAGAGGUUGGCAAAUAGUUCCUCUAUUAGCGGCAUUAUUGUGUAGUCUAAUAUCGCCCAUCUGUCAUAGCUGCACAGCUGGCUUGGUCUUUAUGCAUGUGCGUGAGCCAGGUCUAUGUGAACAUCAUGGGACCUGAGGACCCCACAUAGGUAUUAAAAACAGACAUAUAGGCCCCACAUAUUUGGGGGGCUGGUCCCGAUUAUAGUGUUAGAAUUGGGGUUACCGAAAAAAAGAAAAAAUUGGCGUUACUUGUAGUUUCAGUCAUUACAAGUUAAAUGAAGUUCGACAUUGAAGUUAGGUUAGGUUAAGUUUUGGUUAGGGUUAGGUUAGGGUUAGGGUUAGGUUAAGUUUAGGCAUAUAAGUUAUGACGUCAAGGUAAUGAUUAAGGAUAGGGAACAUGGUUUUCUGGGUCAGAGUCAGGUAUCCGAUGUGUAAUCUUAUCACUUCACCUCCAGUUCUGACAAAAAUCUGAAUUACCUUUGUGUGACUGAACACCUCUCCUGUUGUCUUAAGGUUAAUAGGACCCCACAUCAUGGCAGGGUGUUUGCAAACACUGAAAAACAUCUGACUAUCAAAACAUACAUAAGAUGAAUGAGUCAAAUAAAAAAUCAAAC